Asparagus officinalis (garden asparagus) is the source of this 517-nucleotide long non-coding RNA. RefSeq lists it as uncharacterized. The transcript is spliced from 3 exons. The record is from RefSeq and is a predicted model, not a curated record. NCBI's taxonomy places the organism in Eukaryota, Viridiplantae, Streptophyta, Magnoliopsida, Asparagales, Asparagaceae.
AACAAUCUCACCUCGGGGCAAAAAAGAAAAAAAAAAAGAAAAAACUUUUCUUCGAAAUUUUUUUUCUUUCGAUAUGUCGCUGACACCCUAGAAUGGAUGAAUUGAAAGCCAUUGGAGAUCAUAUCAACUUACAAAGCCCUAAUCGACUCUCACAUGGUCAGUUUCUUCAGGAUUGUGGGAGCUGGUGGAUGAGCACCGGAUUAAAUGCCUUUGAAAAGAAACGAUAGCAAUUUUUUUGGGGUAUAUCUUGCGGAUUCAUUCAGGUGUUGAAUCCCACUACUUUACCGUGGAAGCAGCAACUACUCCAAGUCGCACAUAACCAAGUGGAAUGUCUGUCAUGAUCAUUUUAUCAGUUAUUGGAUUUUGAAGAACUUGAAGAUUGAGAUAAAGUCGUAAUUUUUGUCUCUCUCAUUUGAUUAAUGGGUAGUUGCUUGUAUCACAUUACUGAAGUUUGGAGUAACAUGAGACAGAUAUAACACGGUUUCUAAUGCGAUGAGCUCCACGUGAUUAGCUCGAA